UGGGGAAUAUUGCGCAAUGGGGGAAACCCUGACGCAGCGACGCCGCGUGUGGGAUGAAGGUCUUCGGAUUGUAAACCACUGUCGCGAGGGACGAAGCUCUGACGGUACCUCGAAAGGAAGCACCGGCUAACUCUGUGCCAGCAGCCGCGGUAAUACAGAGGGUGCGAGCGUUGUCCGGAAUCACUGGGCGUAAAGGGCGCGUAGGCGGCCCGGUAAGUAGGGGGUGAAAUCUCAUGGCUCAACUGUGAGGCUGCCUUCUAGACUGCCAGGCUUGAGCACAGUAGAGGCGAGUGGAAUUCCCGGUGUAGCGGUGGAAUGCGUAGAGAUCGGGAAGAACAUCGGUGGCGAAGGCGGCUCGCUGGGCUGUUGCUGACGCUGAGGCGCGAAAAGCGUGGGGAGCAAACAGGAUUAGAUACCCGAGUAGUCCCUGAGCGGGCUGGCAAGGCGCAU
RNAcentral lists this ribosomal RNA (450 nucleotides) under uncultured bacterium. RNAcentral describes it as "bacterial SSU rRNA". It matches the Rfam family "Bacterial small subunit ribosomal RNA", at positions 355 to 825 of the family's 1533-position model. The record is from RNAcentral.